Cavia aperea (Brazilian guinea pig) is the source of this 102-nucleotide small nuclear RNA. The record is from Ensembl. Lineage: Eukaryota; Metazoa; Chordata; Mammalia; Rodentia; Caviidae.
GAAGUGUGAGCCAAAAUCAGCCUAAAAAAUUGGAUACAGAGAAGAUUAGCAUGGCCCCUGCGCAAGGAUGACACGCAAAUUUGUGAAGCAUUCCAUAUUUUU